RNAcentral lists this ribosomal RNA (465 nucleotides) under uncultured bacterium. RNAcentral describes it as "partial 16S ribosomal RNA". It matches the Rfam family "Bacterial small subunit ribosomal RNA", at positions 28 to 507 of the family's 1533-position model. The record is from RNAcentral.
GAUGAACGCUGGCGGCGUGCUUAACACAUGCAAGUCGAACGGAAAGGCUCCUGCUUGCAGGGGUACUCGAGUGGCGAACGGGUGAGUAACACGUGGGUGAUCUGCCCUGCACUUCGGGAUAAGCCUGGGAAACUGGGUCUAAUACCGGAUAGGACCACAGUUUGGAUGGUGUGGUGGAAAGUUUUUCGGUGUGGGAUGAGCUCGCGGCCUAUCAGCUUGUUGGUGGGGUAAUGGCCUACCAAGGCGUCGACGGGUAGCCGGCCUGAGAGGGUGUACGGCCACAUUGGGACUGAGAUACGGCCCAGACUCCUACGGGAGGCAGCAGUGGGGAAUAUUGCACAAUGGGCGCAAGCCUGAUGCAGCGACGCCGCGUGGGGGAUGACGGCCUUCGGGUUGUAAACUCCUUUCGCUAGGGACGAAGCGCAAGUGACGGUACCUGGAGAAGAAGCACCGGCUAACUACGUG